This 412-nucleotide ribosomal RNA is filed under the name uncultured bacterium. RNAcentral describes it as "bacterial SSU rRNA". It matches the Rfam family "Bacterial small subunit ribosomal RNA", at positions 355 to 776 of the family's 1533-position model. The record is from RNAcentral.
UGGGGAAUAUUGCGCAAUGGGCGAAAGCCUGACGCAGCGACGCCGCGUGGGGGAUGACGGCCUUCGGGUUGUAAACCUCUUUCGACCUUGACGAAGCCUUCGGGUGACGGUAGGGGUAGAAGAAGCACCGGCCAACUACGUGCCAGCAGCCGCGGUAAUACGUAGGGUGCGAGCGUUGUCCGGAAUUAUUGGGCGUAAAGAGCUCGUAGGCGGUGUGUCACGUCGGUCGUGAAAACUUGGGGCUUAACUCUGAGCUUGCGGUCGAUACGGGCAUCACUUGAGUUCGGCAGGGGAGACUGGAAUUCCUGGUGUAGCGGUGAAAUGCGCAGAUAUCAGGAGGAACACCGGUGGCGAAGGCGGGUCUCUGGGCCGAUACUGACGCUGAGGAGCGAAAGCGUGGGGAGCGAACAGG